This 459-nucleotide ribosomal RNA is filed under the name uncultured bacterium. RNAcentral describes it as "partial 16S ribosomal RNA". It matches the Rfam family "Bacterial small subunit ribosomal RNA", at positions 338 to 795 of the family's 1533-position model. The record is from RNAcentral.
CCUACGGGAGGCAGCAGUGAGGAAUAUUGGUCAAUGGCCGAGAGGCUGAACCAGCCAAGUCGCGUGAGGGAAGACGGCCCUACGGGUUGUAAACCUCUUUUGUCGGGGAGCAAAGCGAGUCACGUGUGACUCAUUGAGAGUACCCGAAGAAAAAGCAUCGGCUAACUCCGUGCCAGCAGCCGCGGUAAUACGGAGGAUGCGAGCGUUAUCCGGAUUUAUUGGGUUUAACGGGUGCGCAGGCGGAGGUGCAAGUCAGCGGUCAAAUUGCGGGGCUCAACCCCGUACUGCCGUUGAAACUGCAUCCCUUGAGUGCGCGAGAAGUAUGCGGAAUGCGUGGUGUAGCGGUGAAAUGCAUAGAUAGCACGCAGAACUCCGAUUGCGAAGGCAGAAUACCGGCGCGCAACUGACGCUCAUGCACGAAAGCGUGGGGAGCAAACAGGAUUAGAUACCCUGGUAGUC